GCUGGGUGUGGCGGCGCACGCCUGUAAUUCCAGCUACUCGGGAGGCUGAGGCAGGAGAAUCGCUUGAGCCCAGGAAGCAGAGGUUGUAGUGAACCGAGAUUGUCCCACUGCACUCCAGCCUGGGCAACAGAGCGAGACUCUGUCUCAA
Molecule: unclassified non-coding RNA, 148 nt
Organism: Pongo abelii (Sumatran orangutan)
Lineage: Eukaryota; Metazoa; Chordata; Mammalia; Primates; Hominidae
Rfam family: Metazoan signal recognition particle RNA
About the family: The signal recognition particle (SRP) is a universally conserved ribonucleoprotein.
Source: Ensembl